Molecule: transfer RNA, 86 nt
Filed under: Candidatus Thorarchaeota archaeon
Lineage: Archaea; Promethearchaeati; Candidatus Thorarchaeota
Description: tRNA-Leu
Rfam family: tRNA
About the family: Transfer RNA (tRNA) molecules are approximately 80 nucleotides in length.
Source: RNAcentral
GCCGAGGUAGCCAAGCGGUCAACGGCGGUGGGCUCAAGAUCCACUCUCGUAGGAGUACAGGGGUUCGAAUCCCCUCCUCGGCACCA